This 477-nucleotide ribosomal RNA is filed under the name uncultured organism. RNAcentral's name for it is "partial 16S ribosomal RNA". It matches the Rfam family "Bacterial small subunit ribosomal RNA", at positions 333 to 801 of the family's 1533-position model. The record is from RNAcentral.
ACACUCCUACGGGAGGCAGCAGUGGGGAAUUUUGGACAAUGGGCGAAAGCCUGAUCCAGCAAUGCCGCGUGAGUGAAGAAGGCCUUCGGGUUGUAAAGCUCUUUUGUCAGGGAAGAAACGGUGAGAGCUAAUAUCUUUUGCUAAUGACGGUACCUGAAGAAUAAGCACCGGCUAACUACGUGCCAGCAGCCGCGGUAAUACGUAGGGUGCAAGCGUUAAUCGGAAUUACUGGGCGUAAAGCGUGCGCAGGCGGUUUUGUAAGUCUGAUGUGAAAUCCCCGGGCUCAACCUGGGAAUUGCAUUGGAGACUGCAAGGCUAGAAUCUGGCAGAGGGGGGUAGAAUUCCACGUGUAGCAGUGAAAUGCGUAGAUAUGUGGAGGAACACCGAUGGCGAAGGCAGCCCCCUGGGUCAAGAUUGACGCUCAUGCACGAAAGCGUGGGGAGCAAACAGGAUUAGAUACCCGAGUAGUCCCAUGAU